This 468-nucleotide ribosomal RNA is filed under the name uncultured bacterium. RNAcentral describes it as "partial 16S ribosomal RNA". It matches the Rfam family "Bacterial small subunit ribosomal RNA", at positions 28 to 507 of the family's 1533-position model. The record is from RNAcentral.
GACGAACGCUGGCGGCGGGCCUAACACAUGCAAGUCGAACGGAAAGGCCCUGCGUUUGUGGGGUGAUCGAGUGGCGAACGGGUGAGUAACACGUGAGUAACCGGCCCUUGACUUUGGGAUAACUUCAGGAAACGGGGGCUAAUACCGGAUAGGAGCUCCUGCAGCAUGGUGGGGGGUGGAAAGUUGAGGCGGUUGGGGAUGGACUCGCGGCUGAUCAGCUUGUUGGUGGGGGAGUGGCUUACCAAGGCAGGGACGGGUAGCCCGCCUGAGAGGGUGACCGGGCACCUGGGGACUACGAGACGGCGCAGAGUCCUACGUGGGGCAGCGGUCGCAAAUAUUGCACAGUGGGCGGGAGCCUGAUGCGGCAACGCCGCGGUCGUGAUGACGGCCUUCGGGUUGUAAACCGCUUUCGCCUGUUACGCCGCGUGAGUGACGGUAAUGAGUAAAGAAGCACCGGCUAACUACGUG